GAUGAACGCUGGCGGCGUGCCUAAUACAUGCAAGUCGAGCGAACAGACGAGGAGCUUGCUCCUCUGACGUUAGCGGCGGACGGGUGAGUAACACGUGGAUAACCUACCUAUAAGGCUGGGAUAACUUCGGGAAACCGGAGCUAAUACCGGAUAAUAUAUUGAGCCGCAUGGUUCAAUAGUGAAAGACGGUUUUGCUGUCACUUAUAGAUGGAUCCGCGCCGCAUUAGCUAGUUGGUAAGGUAACGGCUUACCAAGGCAACGAUGCGUAGCCGACCUGAGAGGGUGAUCGGCCACACUGGAACUGAGACACGGUCCAGACUCCUACGGGAGGCAGCAGUAGGGAAUCUUCCGCAAUGGGCGAAAGCCUGACGGAGCAACGCCGCGUGAGUGAUGAAGGUCUUCGGAUCGUAAAACUCUGUUAUUAGGGAAGAACAAAUGUGUAAGUAACUAUGCACGUCUUGACGGUACCUAAUCAGAAAGCCACGGCUAACUACGUG
Molecule: ribosomal RNA, 497 nt
Filed under: uncultured bacterium
Lineage: Bacteria
Description: partial 16S ribosomal RNA
Rfam family: Bacterial small subunit ribosomal RNA
Source: RNAcentral